AUUGAACGCUGGCGGCAGGCUUAACACAUGCAAGUCGAGCGGAGCGAGGGUGCUUGCACCUUAGCUUAGCGGCGGACGGGUGAGUAAUGCUUAGGAAUCUGCCUAUUAGUGGGGGACAACAUUCCGAAAGGAAUGCUAAUACCGCAUACGCCCUACGGGGGAAAGCAGGGGAUCUUCGGACCUUGCGCUAAUAGAUGAGCCUAAGUCGGGUGAGCUAGUUGGUGGGGUAAAGGCCUGCCAAGGCGACGAUCUGUAGCGGGUCUGAGAGGAUGAUCCGCCACACUGGGACUGAGACACGGCCCAGACUCCUACGGGAGGCAGCAGUGGGGAAUAUUGGACAAUGGGCGGAAGCCUGAUCCAGCCAUGCCGAGUGUGUGAAGAAGGCCUUUUGGUUGUAAAGCACUUUAAGCGAGGAGGAGGCUACUUAGAUUAAUACUCUGGGAUAGUGGACGUUACUCGCAGAAUAAGCACCGGCUAACUCUGUGCCAGCCGCCGCAGUAA
RNAcentral lists this ribosomal RNA (501 nucleotides) under uncultured bacterium. Its description in RNAcentral is "partial 16S ribosomal RNA". It matches the Rfam family "Bacterial small subunit ribosomal RNA", at positions 30 to 523 of the family's 1533-position model. The record is from RNAcentral.